GACGAACGCUGGCGGCGUGCUUAACACAUGCAAGUCGAACGGUGAAGCUCCAGCUUGCUGGAGUGGAUCAGUGGCGAACGGGUGAGUAACACGUGAGCAACCUGCCCCUGACUCUGGAAUAAGCGCUGGAAACGGCGUCUAAUACUGGAUACGAGAAGGGUCCGCAUGGGCACUUUCUGGAAAGUUUGUCGGUUGGGGAUGGGCUCGCGGCCUAUCAGCUUGUUGGUGGGGUAAUGGCUCACCAAGGCGAUGACGGGUAGCCGGCCUGAGAGGGCGACCGGCCACACUGGGACUGAGACACGGCCCAGACUCCUACGGGAGGCAGCAGUGGGGAAUAUUGCACAAUGGGCGGAAGCCUGAUGCAGCGACGCCGCGUGAGGGAUGACGGCCUUCGGGUUGUAAACCUCUUUCAGCAGGGAAGAAGCGAAAGUGACGGUACCUGCAUAAGAAGCACCGGCUAACUACGUG
This 468-nucleotide ribosomal RNA is filed under the name uncultured bacterium. Its description in RNAcentral is "partial 16S ribosomal RNA". It matches the Rfam family "Bacterial small subunit ribosomal RNA", at positions 28 to 507 of the family's 1533-position model. The record is from RNAcentral.